This 73-nucleotide transfer RNA is filed under the name Canis lupus familiaris (dog). It matches the Rfam family "tRNA". From Rfam's summary of the family: Transfer RNA (tRNA) molecules are approximately 80 nucleotides in length. Their secondary structure includes four short double-helical elements and three loops (D, anti-codon, and T loops). Lineage: Eukaryota; Metazoa; Chordata; Mammalia; Carnivora; Canidae. The record is from Rfam by way of RNAcentral. RNAcentral also lists the same sequence under 2 other names.
ACCUGGCUGGCUCAGUUGGUAGAGCACAUGAUUCUUGAUCUUGGGGUCAUGAGUUCAAGCCCCACUUUGGGUG